AUGCCGCGUGCAGGAUGACGGCCCUAUGGGCUGUAAACUGCUUUUAUAUAGGAAGAAACCUUUUCACGUGUGAGAAGCUGACGGUACUAUAAGAAUAAGGACCGGCUAACUCCGUGCCAGCAGCCGCGGUAAUACGGAGGGUCCGAGCGUUAUCCGGAAUCAUUGGGUUUAAAGGGUCCGUAGGCGGGAAUCUAAGUCAGUGGUGAAAUCUUGCAGCUCAACUGUAAAAUUGCCAUUGAUACUGGAUUUCUUGAAUUAGUGUGAAGUGGUUAGAAUAUGUAGUGUAGCGGUGAAAUGCAUAGAUAUUACAUAGAAUACCAAUUGCGAAGGCAGAUUACUAAUAAUUAACUGACACUGAUGGACGAAAGCGUGGGUAGCGAACAGGAUUAGAUACCCUGGUAGUCCACGCCGUAAACGAUGGUUACUAGCUGUUUGGACUUCGGUCUGAGUGGCUAAGCGAAAGUGAUAAGUAACCCACCUGGGGAGUACGUUCGCAAGAAUGAAACUCAAAGGAAUUGACGGGGGCCCGCACAAGCGGUGGAGCAUGUGGUUUAAUUCGAUGAUACGCGAGGAACCUUACCAGGGCUUAAAUGUAAGUUGCAUUAGCUAGAGAUAGCUAUUUCUUCGGACCACUUACAAGGUGCUGCAUGGUUGUCGUCAGCUCGUGCCGUGAGGUGUCAGGUUAAGUCCUAUAACGAGCGCAACCCCUGUUGUUAGUUGCCAGCGAGUCAUGUCGGGAACUCUAACAAGACUGCCAGUGCAAACUGUGAGGAAGGUGGGGAUGACGUCAAAUCAUCACGGCCCUUACGUCCUGGGCUACACACGUGCUACAAUGGUCGGUACAGAGAGCAGCCACUACGCGAGUAGGAGCGAAUCUUCAAAGCCGAUCACAGUUCGGAUCGGAGUCU
This 908-nucleotide ribosomal RNA is filed under the name uncultured Flavobacteriaceae bacterium. Its description in RNAcentral is "bacterial SSU rRNA". It matches the Rfam family "Bacterial small subunit ribosomal RNA", at positions 394 to 1306 of the family's 1533-position model. Lineage: Bacteria; Pseudomonadati; Bacteroidota; Flavobacteriia; Flavobacteriales; Flavobacteriaceae. The record is from RNAcentral.